This 358-nucleotide unclassified non-coding RNA is filed under the name soil metagenome. RNAcentral's name for it is "partial contains 5.8S ribosomal RNA, internal transcribed spacer 2, and large subunit ribosomal RNA". The stretch from base 1 to 120 matches the Rfam family "5.8S ribosomal RNA", at positions 35 to 154 of the family's 154-position model. The record is from RNAcentral.
GAUGAAGAACGCAGCGAAAUGCGAUAAGUAAUGUGAAUUGCAGAAUUCAGUGAAUCAUCGAAUCUUUGAACGCACAUUGCGCCCGCCAGUAUACUGGCGGGCAUGCCUGUCCGAGCGUCAUUUCAACCCUCGAACCCCUCCGGGGGGUCGGCGUUGGGGACCUCGGGAGCCCCUAAGACGGGAUCCCGGCCCCGAAAUACAGUGGCGGUCUCGCCGCAGCCUCUCCUGCGCAGUAGUUUGCACAACUCGCACCGGGAGCGCGGCGCGUCCACGUCCGUAAAACACCCAACUUCUGAAAUGUUGACCUCGGAUCAGGUAGGAAUACCCGCUGAACUUAAGCAUAUCAAUAAGCGGAGGA